Molecule: ribosomal RNA, 319 nt
Filed under: uncultured eukaryote
Lineage: Eukaryota
Description: partial 18S ribosomal RNA
Rfam family: Eukaryotic small subunit ribosomal RNA
Source: RNAcentral
CCCUUAGAUGUUCUGGGCAGCACGCGCGCUACAAUGGUCUUCGCAAACAGAUGCAUUCUCGAAGGAGAAUGCCAAUCUUGGAAUCUAUGCCUUGGUCGGGACAGUUGCUUGCAAUUUUUCGACUCGAACCAGGAAUUCCUUGUAAUCGUGAUUCAUCACAUCACGAUGAAUACGUCCCUGCCCUUUGUACACACCGCCCGUCGCUCCUACCGAUCGAAGAGUUAGGUGAAUUGUUUUGAUCGAUAAGAUUUGACUAUGGUCAACUCUCGUUGUGAAAUUCUGUGAAUCUGACGGUUUAGAGGAAGGAAAAGUCGUAACA